RNAcentral lists this microRNA precursor (60 nucleotides) under Strongyloides ratti. RNAcentral describes it as "microRNA str-mir-8381 precursor". The record is from miRBase by way of RNAcentral. Lineage: Eukaryota; Metazoa; Nematoda; Chromadorea; Rhabditida; Strongyloididae.
CAAAAAUUCGCAAUCAAAAGCUGUCUGAUAUACAUGCUUUUGUAUUGCUGAAUUUUUGAU